CCUACGGGAGGCAGCAGUGAGGAAUAUUGGUCAAUGGUCGCGAGCCUGAACCAGCCAAGUCGCGUGAGGGAGGACGGUCCUGUGUAUUGUAAACCUCUUUUGUCGGGGAGCAAAAGACGCCACGCGUGGCGUGCCGAGAGUACCCGAAGAAAAAGCAUCGGCUAACUCCGUGCCAGCAGCCGCGGUAAUACGGAGGAUGCGAGCGUUAUCCGGAUUUAUUGGGUUUAAAGGGUGCGCAGGCGGAAGAUUAAGUCAGCGGUAAAAUUGAGAGGCUCAACCUCUUCGAGCCGUUGAAACUGGUGUGCUUGAGUGAGCGAGAAGUAAUCGGAAUGCGUGGUGUAGCGGUGAAAUGCAUAGAUAUCACG
RNAcentral lists this ribosomal RNA (365 nucleotides) under uncultured bacterium. RNAcentral's name for it is "partial 16S ribosomal RNA". It matches the Rfam family "Bacterial small subunit ribosomal RNA", at positions 338 to 701 of the family's 1533-position model. The record is from RNAcentral.